Molecule: long non-coding RNA, 1111 nt
Organism: Amyelois transitella
Lineage: Eukaryota; Metazoa; Arthropoda; Insecta; Lepidoptera; Pyralidae
Exons: 2
Source: RefSeq, a predicted model, not a curated record
GAGUUUGUUUUGUUUGUUUGUUUGUUUGUUUGUUUAAACGCGCUAAUCUCAGAAACUACUGAACCGAUUUGAAUAAUUCUUUCACUGUUAGAUAGUCUAUUUAUCGAGGAAGGCUAUAGGCUAUAUUUUAUCCCGGAUUUCCUACGGGAAACGUCAACAAUGCAGUCGGCCAUCUGCGAGCUUUCCACGCGAACGCUGCGCAAACCAACAAAGAUAUAGUAAAACAAUGUACUAAAGAUGUGAAGUACUCAUUUUUUGCCACAAAAAAGUCCGCGAGAGCAUAUAUCUAUCUCUUAAGGUUUACUUACAAUAACCACUUUUAUGUUCAUUUUUUAAGAUUAUUUUUUGAUUAUAAACAUAAGUUAUUUUGAAACCAAUUUUCUUUAAUUCAGUAUUAAUCCUUAUCCAAAUAAAUAUGUUUAUUACUUUCGGCUUUUCAUGUAGACUAAAAUUGCCAUUUACAGUAUAUAAAUCAGACGAAUAGGUUUUGAGAUAUAGUCGUUAUAAGCAAUUUGCAGCGAAACAUUUAAUACGGCGAACCAGCGUUUUUUCUAAUACGCGUGACCGCCUGACCGCCCCCCCCCCCCUUGAUAAAGCCGAGGAGGAUGUUUGCAAAAAUAAAUAUGAUUCCCAAAAUAACUAUUCCACGCGGACGAAGUCGCGGGCACAGCUAGUAAAUACAUAAAAUGCAAAAGAGUUUUUAAACACUAAACCAAAUUGUCUGAGCCAGAUUAAUUUUGGAAUUAAAAAAAUUUGAAGCGAAAAAAAAAUAAUUCACCCUUUAUUUACUAUUGAUUUGCGUCGUACCAAUUCACAGACAUUGAAAUGAUAGAAGAUAAUAGAAAUGCCAAAUUAUACUUCUAUAUAAUUCAAAUUCAAAUUUUUAUAUGCAUAACAUUAGUACCUACAACAAGGUGUUAAAUUUUACAUAACAUAUCUUCAUAUUUAUAUAACCUACGCACGCGAUUAUUUUCGUAGUUUAACAGCUGUCAAAUUCUUUGGUCGUAUCCAAAUCUACUAUGCUCUAUACAAAUUGACCGAAAAUUAAAUUCGUUUGGUGGUAUACAAUAUAAUACAUUUUUGAAUGUAUUCAAAGAUAGAUCUGAUAAAU